RNAcentral lists this transfer RNA (71 nucleotides) under Candidatus Wildermuthbacteria bacterium. Its description in RNAcentral is "tRNA-Pro". It matches the Rfam family "tRNA". Rfam says of the family: Transfer RNA (tRNA) molecules are approximately 80 nucleotides in length. The record is from RNAcentral. Lineage: Bacteria; Candidatus Wildermuthiibacteriota.
CGGGGCAUAGCGUAAUGGUAGCGCACGUCCUUGGGGUGGAUGAGGAUGGGGUCCAAUUCCCCAUGCCCCGA